UGGGGAAUAUUGGACAAUGGGCGCAAGCCUGAUCCAGCCAUGCCGCGUGCAGGAUGACGGUCCUAUGGAUUGUAAACUGCUUUUGUACAGGAAGAAACAGUUCUAUGUGUAGAACCUUGACGGUACUGUAAGAAUAAGGAUCGGCUAACUCCGUGCCAGCAGCCGCGGUAAUACGGAGGAUCCAAGCGUUAUCCGGAAUCAUUGGGUUUAAAGGGUCCGUAGGCGGUUAGAUAAGUCAGUGGUGAAAGCCCAUCGCUCAACGGUGGAACGGCCAUUGAUACUGUCUGACUUGAAUUAUUAGGAAGUAACUAGAAUAUGUAGUGUAGCGGUGAAAUGCUUAGAGAUUACAUGGAAUACCAAUUGCGAAGGCAGGUUACUACUAAUGGAUUGACGCUGAUGGACGAAAGCGUGGGUAGCGAACAGGAUUAGAUACCCUCGUAGUCCCUGAGCGGGCUGGCAAGGCGCAU
This 467-nucleotide ribosomal RNA is filed under the name uncultured bacterium. RNAcentral's name for it is "bacterial SSU rRNA". It matches the Rfam family "Bacterial small subunit ribosomal RNA", at positions 355 to 825 of the family's 1533-position model. The record is from RNAcentral.